This 167-nucleotide unclassified non-coding RNA is filed under the name fungal sp. RNAcentral describes it as "partial internal transcribed spacer region". The stretch from base 1 to 46 matches the Rfam family "Eukaryotic small subunit ribosomal RNA", at positions 1786 to 1831 of the family's 1831-position model. The record is from RNAcentral. Lineage: Eukaryota; Fungi.
AAGUCGUAACAAGGUUUCCGUAGGUGAACCUGCGGAAGGAUCAUUAACAAAUCAUCGGCCUUCGGGCCAUUGACGCCUGGCUUCGGCCAGGACAUUUCUGCUUGCAUGUUUGACUGAACUGAAAUCCAAAUUAUAUACAACUUUUAACAAUGGAUCUCUUGGCUCUU